Molecule: long non-coding RNA, 906 nt
Filed under: Equus asinus (donkey)
Lineage: Eukaryota; Metazoa; Chordata; Mammalia; Perissodactyla; Equidae
Description: lncRNA (ENSEASG00005031834.1)
Source: RNAcentral
UAGAGCCAGAAACUAGAAGGGAAAAAAAGAAUUCUUGAGAAGGCAGGAGAAAAGACCAUAAGAUCAGAAAAGGAUUCAUCUAAAACAAGAAUGAAGAUUUCUGGAAGUCUAGUGAGGAAAGGUUUGUUAAAAGUAGGAAUAGGUGAUAUUAGUAAAUUUGAUAGAUGUUGACAGAAAAGAUACAACUGAAAAUAGUUUAGUGGAUUUGACCAAUAGGAGAUCAGUGAUGAUUUAGGGAGGGUGUGUUAAUGGAGUGGAAUAGAUACAGGAACAAGAGAAAUGGUUGAGGACACAGAGACAAGGAUAGACUGUCCUUUCACAUAAUUUGAAGAGAGACUGACACAGCUUACAGCAAGAGCAAGGUUAAUAUUCUCUCUGUCUCUGUGUACGUAUACAUAUGAAUGAAUGAAAAUUUCAGAAUAUUUGCAGUUGAAAAAGAAAGUACCAGAGGAGAAGAUAUUGAAGAUAUAAUCUUAAAAGAUGUAUUUCAAGGAGGAAAGUCUAGAAAAGGAGAAGAAAUUCAGAGUUUUAGAUCUAAAGAGGAAAGACACUUCUCUCCAUAAGGAUGAGAGGGUCAAUAGGGAGAACUCUGACCUGUCUCCCAGCUGUGGAAAGAGGCUGACAGAGCAGCCACCAUGUGGAUGUGGCAGAGUGACGGAGAGGGGGAAGUCUGAUUCAAUGUGACAUGAUGUCUUUACAACUAGGAAAAGAAAUUGCUAGCAACUGUCUGUGGUAGAUUGCACAAGGUUCUCAAGUUCUUUGCAUCCUGUAUGUGCGCCCCUUUGUUGCAAUGUAACUUUGCCAUUCUCUCUUUGAAGAGUGGAGUCUGUUUCACAGCCCUUGAAUCUGGGCUUGGUCCUGUGACUUGCUCUGGCCGAUGCAACAUUAGCGAAUGCUAUGCUAGCA